GCUUUGUUUACCCAAGCAAGCCUGGGCAAUGGCGGGCGCCCCUCCCCCAGCCUUGCUGCGGCCUUGCAGUUUGAUCUCAGACUGCUGUGCUAGCAAUCAGCGAGACUCCGUGGGCGUAGGACCCUCCUAGCCAGGUGCAAGAUAUAAUCUCGCGGUGCGCCGUUUUUUAAGCCGGUCCGAAAGCGCAAUAUUCGGGUGGGAGAGACCCGAUUUUCCAGUGAGAUGAACCCAGUACCUCAGAUGGAAAUGCAGAAAUCACCCGUCUUCUGCGUCGCUCACGCUGGGAGCUGUAGACCGGAGCUGUUGCUAUUCGGCCAUCUUGGCUCCUCUCCUGCACUGCAAGAAUGGACUAAUACGCUAUGUGAAGACAAAGGGGAUGUCUGCAAGCCAGGACGAGUGCGUCUACCAGAAACUGAGUUCUGCUGGACUUUGAUCUAGGACAUCCAGCCUCCAGAAUGGAAUGUGCCAUAUGUGGAGACCUGCAUGGAAAGGAACUGAGGAUGCUCUCUCACUAAAAGCUAGAAGGAACUGAGGCCCUCAGUCAACAGUCUACAAGACACUGAAUCUUGCCAGCAGCCAAGCAGUGAGCUUGAAAGCAGAUCUAUCAUCAGCUGAACCUUCAGAUGAGACCGCAGCCUAAGCAGAUACCUUGGUUGCAGCCAUGUGAGACAACCUGAAACAGAGGGCACAGCUAAGCCUCAGCCAGGUUCAUGACCCUCUGAGGAAACUGUGAGAAAGCAAAUGUCAUUUUAAGCUAUUUAAUUUUGGAGGUAGUUUAUUACACAACAAUAAAUAACUAUUAUAAUUAUCUUGAGGAUUUAUUUCCUGGGGAGAAUACAUGGAAUUGCAUAUAUAGGUCCUCAUAUGCAGAAUACUGGUACCCUAGAGAUGUUCACCCCAGAGAUGUUUUAGGAACCUGUGAAUAUGUUACAUUAAAUGGCAAAGUUUUCCUGGAUGGUUUAAGUUUAAGAUGGAAAAGUUUUACUGGAUUAUCCAGUGGGUCCAAUCUAGUAACAUGAGUCCUUAAAAAUGGAGAAUAUUUUUUGGCCAUGAUCAGAGAGACAUGUGAUGAUGGAAAAAGUGUCAGAGAUGCAAUGUGAGGGGACUAAAACUGCUGUUGCUGACUUUAAAGAUGGAGAGAGGGGAACCCGAGUCAAGGAAUGCAAAUGGCCUCUGGAAGCUGGAAAAAGCAAGAAAUGGAUUCUCCUUUAGAGCCUGUGGAAUAAAAUGCAGUCAUGCUGACACCUUGAUUUUACCUCAGUGAGACCAAUACUGGAGUAUGACCUUCGGAGCUCGCAAAGGCCACAUAAGGACAGUGAGAAGGCAGCCACCUGCAAGCCAGGAAGAAAGGUCUCACCAGAUACCAACCCUGCCAGCAUGUUGAUCUUGGACUUCCAGCCUCCAAAACUGGCCUUCUGCUCACAUGGGCUUCCGUGCACCUGCUUCAGGAGACAGCAACACUUGCGCCCGCACCGCGGCAGGCUCCCAUCACCUGGUGGAUAUGCCGCGCCGAGUCUCAUCACACCUUAGUGAAGGAACACAUGGACCCAUAUGUUAGCGGAUGUAUUUACAUCGUUUUAUACAGAAAGGGGAAGAAAACUGCAUACCUCAGAAAGGGGUUGCUCCUCACUCUGAGUACUAGACUAAAGAUAAAAAGACUAGAUAAAAGUACUAGACUAAAGACAGAGCUGACCCAUGACAG
This 1702-nucleotide long non-coding RNA is filed under the name Homo sapiens (human). RNAcentral describes it as "HSALNT0007846". Lineage: Eukaryota; Metazoa; Chordata; Mammalia; Primates; Hominidae. The record is from RNAcentral.